GCAGCUAACGCAUUAAGUUAUCCGCCUGGGGAGUACGUUCGCAAGAUUAAAACUCAAAGGAAUUGACGGGGGCCUGCACAAGCGGUGGAGCAUGUGGUUUAAUUGGAAGCAACGCGCAGAACCUUACCAGCCUUUGACAUCCUGGUCGCGGAUUAGAGAGAUCUUUUCCUUCAGUUCGGCUGGACCAGUGACAGGUGCUGCAUGGCUGUCGUCAGCUCGUGUCGUGAGAUGUUGGGUUAAGUCCCGCAACGAGCGCAACCUUCGUCCUUAGUUGCCAUCAUUUAGUUGGGCACUCUAAGGAAACCGCCGGUGAUAAGCCGGAGGAAGGUGGGGAUGACGUCAAGUCCUCAUGGCCCUUACAGGCUGGGCUACACACGUGCUACAAUGGCGGUGACAGUGGGCAGCCACUACGCGAGUAGGAGCUAAUCCCAAAAAGCCGUCUCAGUUCGGAUUGUUCUCUGCAACUCGAGAGCAUGAAGGCGGAAUCGCUAGUAAUCGCGGAUCAGCAUGCCGCGGUGAAUACGUUCCCAG
RNAcentral lists this ribosomal RNA (531 nucleotides) under uncultured bacterium. RNAcentral's name for it is "bacterial SSU rRNA". It matches the Rfam family "Bacterial small subunit ribosomal RNA", at positions 848 to 1377 of the family's 1533-position model. The record is from RNAcentral.